Long non-coding RNA from Helianthus annuus (common sunflower), 297 nucleotides. RefSeq lists it as uncharacterized. The record is from RefSeq and is a predicted model, not a curated record. The transcript has 3 exons. Lineage: Eukaryota; Viridiplantae; Streptophyta; Magnoliopsida; Asterales; Asteraceae.
UUCAGGUCUGUUGAUAGGUGAUACCAGCCCAAAAGUUUAGGCUUCAUCCCUUUUUGUUAUUCGUUGUGGAGAGACGAAUUAAGAUGGGGAGCGGAAGACAAUCUCAGAUGAGUAUAGGAAUUUUAGUGCAUGAUUGAGAUCAUUUGGACCCGUGUACUGUAUGUCAUUGAAUGUUUUAAUCUUACAAUCAGUUUUACUUUGUUUUUUAUGAAGGUGCUGUUGUCAUGGACAUCAAAGUGAUUGCACAACACCAAGAUCACCCGUCAUCUCAAUUUGAGCAAUUAAACGGAGUUUUCU